CGUGGAUCGAUUUGUCUGGUUUAUUCCGAUAACGAGCGAGACUCUAGCCUACUAAAUAGUGACAGGAUUACUACUGUCCUGAGUACUUCUUAGAGGGAUUUUCGGUGUUCAGCCGCACGAGAUUGAGCAAUAACAGGUCUGUGAUGCCCUUAGAUGUCCGGGGCUGCACGCGCGCUACACUGGCGAAAUCAGCGUGCUGUACCCUCCCUCGAAAGAGAUGGGUAAACCCAUAAAAAUUUGCCGUGCUUGGGAUCGGAAAUUGCAAUUAUUUUCCGUGGACGAGGAAUUCCGAGUAAGUGCGAGUCAUCAACUCGCUCUGAAUACGUCCCUGCCCUUUGUAC
RNAcentral lists this ribosomal RNA (341 nucleotides) under Nematoda environmental sample. RNAcentral's name for it is "bacterial SSU rRNA". It matches the Rfam family "Eukaryotic small subunit ribosomal RNA", at positions 1300 to 1665 of the family's 1831-position model. Lineage: Eukaryota; Metazoa; Nematoda. The record is from RNAcentral.